This 503-nucleotide ribosomal RNA is filed under the name uncultured bacterium. RNAcentral describes it as "partial 16S ribosomal RNA". It matches the Rfam family "Bacterial small subunit ribosomal RNA", at positions 355 to 849 of the family's 1533-position model. The record is from RNAcentral.
UGGGGAAUUUUGGACAAUGGGCGAAAGCCUGAUCCAGCAAUGCCGCGUGUGUGAAGAAGGCCUUCGGGUUGUAAAGCACUUUUGUCCGGAAAGAAAUCCUUGGCUCUAAUACAGUCGGGGGAUGACGGUACCGGAAGAAUAAGCACCGGCUAACUACGUGCCAGCAGCCGCGGUAAUACGUAGGGUGCAAGCGUUAAUCGGAAUUACUGGGCGUAAAGCGUGCGCAGGCGGUUUGCUAAGACCGAUGUGAAAUCCCCGGGCUCAACCUGGGAACUGCAUUGGUGACUGGCAGGCUAGAGUAUGGCAGAGGGGGGUAGAAUUCCACGUGUAGCAGUGAAAUGCGUAGAGAUGUGGAGGAAUACCGAUGGCGAAGGCAGCCCCCUGGGCCAAUACUGACGCUCAUGCACGAAAGCGUGGGGAGCAAAACAGGAUUAGAUACCCUGGUAGUCCACGCCCUAAAACGAUGUCAACUAGUUGUUGGGGAUUCAUUUCCUUAGUAACGU